This 176-nucleotide ribosomal RNA is filed under the name uncultured Neosartorya. Its description in RNAcentral is "partial 26S ribosomal RNA". Lineage: Eukaryota; Fungi; Ascomycota; Eurotiomycetes; Eurotiales; Aspergillaceae. The record is from RNAcentral.
CGAGUGAGCGGCAGAGCUCAAUUUGAAGCUGGCUCCUCGGGGUUGAGUUGUAUUUGGAAGGUGCUUUGGGUGCGGCCUCCUUCUAGUUGCUCGGGAAAGGGCCUCCUAAAAGGGGGAAAUCCCGUUUGGUUUGGGGAGCCCCCUGCCCGGGUGACUCUCCUUCACGAGUUUGUUGU